AAUUUAUUGAUGAUAACAACAUUGAAUAACUCAUUUUAUCGUUGUCUUCUUGAAGAAUCGACUGGGAGAAUUAAGCUAAGGAAUAUAUUCGUUCUUCAGUACACUGUUCAGCUAAGACAUGGUAACCUUAAAAGCUGGCGAUCGUGUGCAGAAUAUCUCAGGAACUCACGCAUGUUUGCCAAGGGGUUUUGGCUCUUGGAAGAAGUAUUAUGUCGACGAUGGCGAGCGUGAAUGGCCAAAUACCUGUCGCGUCAGUUACUGCGAGGAGCACGCGAAAGGAGGCGCUCAUGUGCACGUAGCAGGGAAACCAGGUGUUUUCAUUGUACCCAUGUGUGAGCACCACAAUACAGCUCAAAAUAAGGAUUGGUUAUCUGUGAAGAGAGGCACCAAGGCUGUGCUUGUUAACAUGGAAGACACAUCUGGACCAUCUGGUAUCUGUUUCAGUGGUUGCAAGCGUCGAUAAACUUCGAUCGACGGUCAAUGAAUGAUAAUAUGAAAUUGCAGAUUUUGUUUUUUUUUCAGUACAAUUUAUAGAACAAAUCAUGUUCUGUGUAUAUAAUAUACGAAUAACUUUGUGUUUCGACUAUAUAUCACCAAAUUUAAUGUGGUUGGAGUAUAGCGUAAGUUGAUUUUUGCUGUGCCCAACUCAGCUUCAUUAUGGAUGUAAUAUCACCAGUCCAACAAUGAAGUAAAAUAGCACAUAUAAUAUAUUAUCAAUAAUCACUAAUCAUCAUCAAUAAUCAUCAAUAAUAUUAUCAAUAAUCACGAAUUGCGACAUUUAGUUUGUAAUAUUCCCUGUAACAUUCAGCAUAACUAAUCGCGUCUGGCAGAACAGUAUAUCUCUUGUCACUUCGAGUCAGUCAGUUUUAAUGUCGGAGCCGACACCGCGCGGAAAGUAAUCGUGAAGUAUUGCGAAAUAAUAUUACGAAGUGUAUCAAAGUAUGACGUAAUGCAAUCCAGGCCUUAUGUUAGCGUGGUUUUCCAGGAAGCACUUAGGCGGUUGAAGUAUAUCGAUCGGUUAGCGUGGGCAUAAGAUAAAAACGUGCUAUUUGUGAUAUUAAAUUGUGAUAUGACUUUA
Dendronephthya gigantea is the source of this 1078-nucleotide long non-coding RNA. RefSeq lists it as uncharacterized. The transcript is spliced from 2 exons. NCBI's taxonomy places the organism in Eukaryota, Metazoa, Cnidaria, Anthozoa, Malacalcyonacea, Nephtheidae. The record is from RefSeq and is a predicted model, not a curated record.